GACGAACGCUGGCGGCGUGCCUAAUACAUGCAAGUUGAGCGCUGAAGGUUGGUACUUGUACCAACUGGAUGAGCAGCGAACGGGUGAGUAACGCGUGGGGAAUCUGCCUUUGAGCGGGGGACAACAUUUGGAAACGAAUGCUAAUACCGCAUAAAAACUUUAAACACAAGUUUUAAGUUUGAAAGAUGCAAUUGCAUCACUCAAAGAUGAUCCCGCGUUGUAUUAGCUAGUUGGUGAGGUAAAGGCUCACCAAGGCGAUGAUACAUAGCCGACCUGAGAGGGUGAUCGGCCACAUUGGGACUGGGACACGGCCCAAACUCCUACGGGAGGCAGCAGUAGGGAAGCUUCGGCAAUGGACGAAAGUCUGACCGAGCAACGCCGCGUGAGUGAAGAAGGUUUUCGGAUCGUAAAACUCUGUUGGUAGAGAAGAACGUUGGUGAGAGUGGAAAGCUCAUCAAGUGACGGUAACUACCCAGAAAGGGACGGCUAACUACGUG
RNAcentral lists this ribosomal RNA (497 nucleotides) under uncultured bacterium. RNAcentral describes it as "partial 16S ribosomal RNA". It matches the Rfam family "Bacterial small subunit ribosomal RNA", at positions 28 to 507 of the family's 1533-position model. The record is from RNAcentral.